This 184-nucleotide ribosomal RNA is filed under the name Escherichia coli. RNAcentral describes it as "partial 16S ribosomal RNA". It matches the Rfam family "Bacterial small subunit ribosomal RNA", at positions 1 to 178 of the family's 1533-position model. Lineage: Bacteria; Pseudomonadati; Pseudomonadota; Gammaproteobacteria; Enterobacterales; Enterobacteriaceae. The record is from RNAcentral.
AAAUUGAAGAGUUUGAUCAUGGCUCAGAUUGAACGCUGGCGGCAGGCCUAACACAUGCAAGUCGAACGGUAACAGGAAGCAGCUUACUGUUUCGCUGACGAGUGGCGGACGGGUGAGUAAUGUCUGGGAAACUGCCUGAUGGAGGGGGAUAACUACUGGAAACGGUAGCUAAUACCGCAUAACG